UACGUAGGGUGCAAGCGUUGUCCGGAAUUAUUGGGCGUAAAGAGCUCGUAGGCGGUUUGUCGCGUCUGCUGUGAAAACCCGAGGCUCAACCUCGGGCCUGCAGUGGGUACGGGCAGACUAGAGUGCGGUAGGGGAGAUUGGAAUUCCUGGUGUAGCGGUGGAAUGCGCAGAUAUCAGGAGGAACACCAAUGGCGAAGGCAGAUCUCUGGGCCGUACCUGACACUGAUGCGCGACAGCAUGGGGAGCAAACAGG
This 253-nucleotide ribosomal RNA is filed under the name uncultured bacterium. RNAcentral's name for it is "partial 16S ribosomal RNA". It matches the Rfam family "Bacterial small subunit ribosomal RNA", at positions 524 to 776 of the family's 1533-position model. The record is from RNAcentral.